UACAGAGGUGGCAAGCGUUGUUCGGAAUUACUGGGCGUAAAGGGCGCGUAGGCGGCCUUCUUAGUCGGACGUGAAAUCCCCAGGCUCAACUUGGGAACUGCGUCCGAUACUGGAUGGCUUGAGUGCGGGAGAGGGAUGUGGAAUUCCAGGUGUAGCGGUGAAAUGCGUAGAUAUCUGGAGGAACACCGGUGGCGAAGGCGGCAUCCUGGACCAACACUGACACUGAGGAGCGAAAGCCAGGGGAGCAAACGGG
RNAcentral lists this ribosomal RNA (253 nucleotides) under uncultured bacterium. RNAcentral describes it as "partial 16S ribosomal RNA". It matches the Rfam family "Bacterial small subunit ribosomal RNA", at positions 524 to 776 of the family's 1533-position model. The record is from RNAcentral.